GUAUCUCGAUUGUCGGAUUGGACCAUUUCGAUUGGAGGCGGGUUGAUGCUGUCACGAGAGAAUUGCAGUUGCUAGUCCCCUGCAGACCACCAACUGUAGUUAUCUUUGGUUUUGUUUAUGCUUCUCAUUUGACUAUGUUUUAGACUUGGUUGAUUUGAUACUUGGAUAUUGUAUGGUUUGUACCUGUCGAUGGAUUUUUAUUCGUUAUGUUUUACUA
Zingiber officinale is the source of this 217-nucleotide long non-coding RNA. RefSeq lists it as uncharacterized. NCBI's taxonomy places the organism in Eukaryota, Viridiplantae, Streptophyta, Magnoliopsida, Zingiberales, Zingiberaceae. The transcript has 2 exons. The record is from RefSeq and is a predicted model, not a curated record.